Long non-coding RNA from Gavialis gangeticus (Gharial), 1499 nucleotides. RefSeq lists it as uncharacterized. Lineage: Eukaryota; Metazoa; Chordata; Crocodylia; Gavialidae. The record is from RefSeq and is a predicted model, not a curated record. The transcript is spliced from 2 exons.
GGCUAAGUGACAAUACAUUGCUACCUGAUGGUGGUUGAUGGGAGACCCCUGGGAAGAUGCUGGUGGACACAAGGGCACGAGCGCCCACCUCAGAGAACCCUUCCUCACCAUUGGCAAGAAUGGCCUUGCUCGGCACUGGUGAGCAAGGGUGAAUGGGCCAGGAAGAGUGACCCCAAGGCGUGCAGAGUGGGGGCACUUUAGGAAGAGGCUGUGAAGGAGGUGGCAGCCCUGCUGCCCAUUCUGCACCUGUUCAGAGGGAGAACAUCAGACUGCGCGGCUGUCACAAAUGCUGACUCUGUGCUGCAGUUCUUAAACCCUGGCCACAUGAAGCUACUUCUUGAGCGAGUAACUGUGUUUGACUGGAUGGGACUGCUGGAAGUUGGUUUCAGCUGAAACACACGGAAACAAAUUUCAUGUUACUGACUCUUUUUGCAGUCCUGCUCUGCUGCACUGAUUAGAUGAUACCUUUUUGAUCUCCCAGUGGUACAGAGAGGGAUGGAGAUGGUGUGGGGGACGGGGAUGACAGGUUUUACAUAUCUCUGACUGUAUCUGCAUUUACUGAGUCAUUGGUGUAUUUUGCAGAGUUCCUCCCCCAGAAAGCUGCAGUUGAUUUGUCCAUCGUUCAAUAUAGAGGGUGGAUUUGCCAGUCCAUGUACGAAGCAUAAACUCUUGAUUCUGAUGCAGAGGAUCUGCUUCCAUGGGUAGAGCCCACCCCACAGUUGUGACGUCAAGGACCCAUCGACUCAUCUCCUCCUCCUGCUUUUCCUGAUCCUCCAAGCCUGUUGCAGAAAUUGGAGCCUGGCAACAGAAAAGGAUUGAAAACACUUCUGUCCCUACCAAAAAAAAGGCCAGCGUGUUUGUGGGCAAAAAGGUCAUCCCGUUCCAGCAGGCAUGAACUUUGUCCCAUUCAUGCCUGCAGCCACAGCACGAGAUAGGACUCUACACCUGAUGGUAACUCAAGCCGUAUACAUGCUCUUGAAAGAAAGGUAACCAAAGGGGUAGUCCAGAGGUUCCUUGAUAGUUCUACAGGACCUGGGACAAAACAGAAGCAGGAGCUUCAUCUUCAUUUCCCCUGCAAAGAUGCUAGGAUUUAACCAGGUGGAGAACUUGGUUUGCUUUUGAAUCAAUCACUUUUUCCCCAAUCCCUAGACUUCAGUACCCUUUAGAUCCAAUGCAGAAGGAACUGACACUGGAGAUUGAAAGCCCACAGUAGCCGCUUAGGGGGAGGAGAGGGGAGGUCAGGUCUGUGAUGAAGAAUCAUCAUCAUCAGUUUUGAUUAAUGUCCAGCUGGAGGGGGACACUGCAGCAAGAGGGGAGGGAGCCUUUGCUCUUCAAUCCCUCCACUUAGUGUUUCAUGGUUGGGAGGUGCUAGAUAUCUUCCGUAAAAAAAAACUGACCUAGACAUUGCGUCUCAUGUGUCUAAUGGGACGGGGUGUUUGACACAUUUAUAUGGUACCUACUGAUUAUUCUUGCCAGACAGAAAUAAAAUGCUUGUGAGA